GACGAACGCUGGCGGCGUGCCUAAUACAUGCAAGUAGAACGCUGAAGAGAGGAGCUUGCUCUUCUUGGAUGAGUUGCGAACGGGUGAGUAACGCGUAGGUAACCUGCCUUGUAGCGGGGGAUAACUAUUGGAAACGAUAGCUAAUACCGCAUAACAAUGGAUGACACAUGUCAUUUAUUUGAAAGGGGCAAUUGCUCCACUACAAGAUGGACCUGCGUUGUAUUAGCUAGUAGGUGAGGUAAUGGCUCACCUAGGCGACGAUACAUAGCCGACCUGAGAGGGUGAUCGGCCACACUGGGACUGAGACACGGCCGAGACUCCUACGGGAGGCAGCAGUAGGGAAUCUUCGGCAAUGGGGGCAACCCUGACCGAGCAACGCCGCGUGAGUGAAGAAGGAUUUCGGAUCGUAAAGUUCUGUUGUAAGUCAAGAACGGGUGUGAGAGUGGAAAGUUCACACUGUGACGGUAGCUUACCAGAAAGGGACGGCUAACUACGUG
RNAcentral lists this ribosomal RNA (497 nucleotides) under uncultured bacterium. Its description in RNAcentral is "partial 16S ribosomal RNA". It matches the Rfam family "Bacterial small subunit ribosomal RNA", at positions 28 to 507 of the family's 1533-position model. The record is from RNAcentral.